GGGGGGGGGGGGGGGGGGGGGGGGGGGGGGGAGGUCGGGGGGAUGGGGGGGGGUUGCUCCUGGGUGCAGCGGCGGGCGGGGGGGGAGUGCCGAGGAGUCUGCCUGGUAGUGGGGGAUAACGUCCGGAAACGGGCGCUAAUACCGCAUACGUCCUGAGGGAGAAAGUGGGGGAUCUUCGGACCUCACGCUAUCAGAUGAGCCUAGGUCGGAUUAGCUAGUUGGUGGGGUAAAGGCCUACCAAGGCGACGAUCCGUAACUGGUCUGAGAGGAUGAUCAGUCACACUGGAACUGAGCCACGGUCCAGACUCCUACGGGAGGCAGCAGUGGGGAAUAUUGGACAAUGGGCGAAAGCCUGAUCCAGCCAUGCCGCGUGUGUGAAGAAGGUCUUCGGAUUGUAAAGCACUUUAAGUUGGGAGGAAGGGCAGUAAGUUAAUACCUUGCUGUUUUGACGUUACCAACAGAAUAAGCCCCGGCUAACUUCGUG
This 484-nucleotide ribosomal RNA is filed under the name uncultured bacterium. RNAcentral describes it as "partial 16S ribosomal RNA". It matches the Rfam family "Bacterial small subunit ribosomal RNA", at positions 37 to 507 of the family's 1533-position model. The record is from RNAcentral.